This 253-nucleotide ribosomal RNA is filed under the name uncultured bacterium. RNAcentral's name for it is "partial 16S ribosomal RNA". It matches the Rfam family "Bacterial small subunit ribosomal RNA", at positions 524 to 776 of the family's 1533-position model. The record is from RNAcentral.
UACGUAGGGUGCAAGCGUUGUCCGGAAUUAUUGGGCGUAAAGAGCUCGUAGGCGGUUUGUCGCGUCUGCUGUGAAAACCCGAGGCUCAACCUCGGGCCUGCAGUGGGUACGGGCAGACUAGAGUGCGGUAGGGGAGAUUGGAAUUCCUGGUGUAGCGGUGGAAUGCGCAGAUAUCAGGAGGAACACCGAUGGCGAAGGCAGAUCUCUGGGCCGUAACUGACGCUGAGACGCGAAAGCGUGGGGAGCGAACAGG